CCUACGGGAGGCAGCAGUGAGGAAUAUUGGUCAAUGGACGAGAGUCUGAACCAGCCAAGUAGCGUGAAGGAUGACUGCCCUAUGGGUUGUAAACUUCUUUUAUAUGGGAAUAAAAUGUUCCACGUGUGGGAUUUUGUAUGUACCAUAUGAAUAAGUAUCGGCUAACUCCGUGCCAGCAGCCGCGGUAAUACGGAGGAUCCGAGCGUUAUCCGGCUUUAUUGGGUUUAAAGGGAGCGUAGGUGGAUUGUUAAGUCAGUUGUGAAAGUGUGCGGCUCAACCGUAAAAUUGCAGUUGAAACUGGCAGUCUUGAGUACAGUAGAGGUGGGCGGAAUUCGUGGUGUAGCGGUGAAAUGCUUAGAUAUCACGAAGAACUCCGAUUGCGAAGGCAGUUCACUGGACUGCAACUGACACUGAGGCUCGAAAGUGUGGGUAUCAAACAGGAUUAGAUACCCGAGUAGUC
This 460-nucleotide ribosomal RNA is filed under the name uncultured bacterium. Its description in RNAcentral is "partial 16S ribosomal RNA". It matches the Rfam family "Bacterial small subunit ribosomal RNA", at positions 338 to 795 of the family's 1533-position model. The record is from RNAcentral.